This is a long non-coding RNA of Ictidomys tridecemlineatus (thirteen-lined ground squirrel), 2149 nucleotides long. The record is from Ensembl. Lineage: Eukaryota; Metazoa; Chordata; Mammalia; Rodentia; Sciuridae.
GAAUAGGGAAAGUUUUCUUCAAAGAAUUUUUUCUUCACACGCAGCCACGCCCUCCAAACGGCCAGUCACGCUGCGGGUUCGAGCCCCAUCCCUUCUACCUGGAACCUCACCAGGGCCCGGCUCGGGCACCCUCGCCAAGGCGGCGCCAGGGCCGCGGCGCAGAGCCUUCUGGGACUUGUAGUCCGCACUUGGCGGCGAGGGGCGCGCGGCCGGCUGGGGCCUCGGUGGUUCCGGGGACCAGGAAGCAGCCCGCGGCGCAGAAUGGGAGGCCGGCGCCGGCGGGUGGAGCGGCCUGGCGGGGCGCGUGAGGACCGGGCGCCAUCGCGGUGGGCGCGGGGUGGAGCGCGGGGUGCGCGGUGCGAGCCUCGGUCCCCGGCGUCGGCGGCACCUGGCGACCCGCGCAGCCAGGCCGGAGAGGUCCCGCCAACCCCUGCGGUGCCCUGAGGGAAGCGGGGUGACGGGGUCGGGCAGUGACGGGGACCGCGCUGCCGACGGAGCUCAGCGACACGAACCGGAUGGCGGAGCGGGCGAGUCUGACUGUCGUGGGCGGCGCCCGGCGGAGCGCAGCUUGAGACCCAUACCUGGGCUGUGGAUAGCCCCGGGUCGGCGUGUGCGAGGUGGGGGCUGCACGUCUGUGGCCCAGGCGGGGCGGACGCUGUCGUGGGUGUCCCCAACUCCAUGGCCACCCUCUAGAUAGGCGCUUACCUGGCUGGGUGCAAGCCAGGGCUCGGAAAUGGCUGAGCAGCUGUCCAUGGGGGACCAUCUUGAUAUGCAGUCUAAGGAAGGUUGAUUUCUUUUUUCUUUUUCUUUCUUUCCUUUUUUUGGCACCUGGGAUGGAACUCAGGGGCACUCAACCACUGACCACAUCCCCAGCCCUAUUUCAUAUUUUAUUUAGAGACAGUUGCUGACAGGAGUAAGAGACUGCGUGGAGGUCCCUUGACCGCUCCCGGGUGGUCCUGAAGUCAAGGUCGGCCCUGCCCCAGGUAACCUCUUCCUGCCAGGAUCUGUGUCUUGAAGAAAGAAGCCUCAGCACACGCGAUGCCUUUUGGAAUGCUCGGUUUAUUCACUCCAGGGGCAUCACAUCAAAGGAGGCACAGGAACAGAGGCUGGCAGGACGCAGUUCGCUGGAUGUUGACCCACCAACAUAGCGGGUCUGAACUGGCCAAAGAGCUCAGCCUUCCUGGCCUUUAAAUACUAUAGUUGUUUACAACACUUCAAACCAAAAGCAUGUUUAUUCCAUAACUUCUAUUUCUUAUCCUAUCUUAACAGAUUGUCUCUAUUGCAUCACACCUUGCUUACAUCUUGCUUAUCUUAAACUAUCACACUUGUUUUGUGCUAAAACACCUCAAAACAUGUUUACCUUAUAUCCUUAUCUAUUUCACACAUUUUUCUAGCUUAGGCACCUUUCUUCAUCAAAACAUGUUUACUUCAAACUCUCCUGUCCUUUGUUUAUUCCAAACUCUCCUGUAGCUCCUGUCAUUCCACCCCCUUGAUACCGAGACCAAUAAAAGGGGUGAAGGUAUCAAUGACUAUCCACCACUGCAUGUUAAACAGCCAGUGACACCACUAUCCUUCAAAGGUGUCAAAGAAAUAUCACUGUAACAUACAAUGAUUGCAUCCUGUAGAGGUGCAAAAUCCUACAAUACACAGCGGGAGAUAUUGAACUAAAGAAUUCCAAACUUCACAGCACACAGGGUAAGGUACAAUGCUAGGAUAGUUUUCCAACAUGUGUCGCAAUUGUCCAUCAGUUAUGUUCUUCAAAAGUAUUACUGCUCCGUGGCAUACUCUCAGGGGUCCUGUUAUUUCUGUCUCUUCGUACAGUGGAACCAGUGGUACCGGAGCACUCGGAGGUGUUUUGGUCAAAUUCCAAGCAUGUCUCCAUAGUUGGUUUUUCUUUCGGCGACCCAAGAUUCUUUCUAUUACUAUCCGAUCCAUAGACACGUUGUUGUAAAAACACCUAUCAACAAGUAAAUAUAGCACAAAUUAAAGAAUUAAAACAUUUGUUUUAGUUGACAUGUCCGUCAUUGUUGGGAAUAGAAAGGGUCCAUGCACAUUGUGAGGUAUCUUUUUUAGGCGCGGAAUUUUAAAAGAAAAAUUUUGUGUCUUGUCCGAAUGAGCUGGCCACUUUGUUCAUGCAACACAAUAAAUU